Molecule: microRNA, 19 nt
Filed under: Sus scrofa (pig)
Lineage: Eukaryota; Metazoa; Chordata; Mammalia; Artiodactyla; Suidae
Description: ssc-mir186
Source: RNAcentral
GCGGGCGGGGCCGGGGGUG